GAUGAAGAACGUAGCGAAAUGCGAUAAGUAAUGCGAAUUGCAGAUCUCCGUGAGUCAUUGAAUCUUUGAACGCACAUUGCGCCCUCGGGUAUUCCCGAGGGCAUGCCUGUCCGAGCGUCAUUAUCCAACCAUCAAGCUCGGCUUGUGGUUGAGCCCCGCACCGUCCCCGGGACGGUGGGCUCGAAACAUGUUGGGCGCCCGUGAGGUUGUCGGUGCAGCGAGCUCUCGAGCACGUGCCGGGCAACCGCUCUGGGCGUCGGCCAGCCCCCCCAUUUUCUCAGGUUGACCUCGGAUCAGGUAGGAAUACCCGCUGAACUUAAGCAUAUCAAUAAGCGGAGGA
This 340-nucleotide unclassified non-coding RNA is filed under the name soil metagenome. RNAcentral's name for it is "partial contains 5.8S ribosomal RNA, internal transcribed spacer 2, and large subunit ribosomal RNA". The stretch from base 1 to 120 matches the Rfam family "5.8S ribosomal RNA", at positions 35 to 154 of the family's 154-position model. The record is from RNAcentral.